Long non-coding RNA from Lepidothrix coronata (blue-crowned manakin), 4324 nucleotides. RefSeq lists it as uncharacterized. NCBI's taxonomy places the organism in Eukaryota, Metazoa, Chordata, Aves, Passeriformes, Pipridae. The record is from RefSeq and is a predicted model, not a curated record. The transcript has 4 exons.
ACAGCUCAGACAGUCCCCUUUGCCCGGAGCCCCGGGGCACAUCCUUGCGAGCCGCUCACCCCGACACGCUGCUGGUGGUGGUCGACACGAGUUGUUGCACACAUCCGGCAUCUUUUUCCCCCUAAAACCUUUAGUUGUCAAAUCAAAGGACAUGCCAAAGGUUCCCCCCGGCAGUCCCAUUUUCCCUGUGGUGACAGUUUCACCCUCCCAUUACAUCCCCAAAAUGCCCCACCUUGGACUCAUUAAGACUCUUAGCCUGUAAACAUCACUCAAAUAAUAAGCAUUAAAGUGCCUGUCUUUAAAAAGAAAAGUAUAUAAAUAACCCCCUUCCCUUCCAUCACAGCCUGCUGACACAGAAAACACUGGAGCCACUUCCUGGAAUUUGGGUCAGUAAAAGUCCCGACAAACAUGCUCUGGGGGUCAGGACAUACUGACGUAUCCAAGGAAAAGGACAUGAGUUUGGUUGUCCUUGAUCCACACACAGCAAUUAUUCCUCCAUUUCCCUCCUCCAACAAGAGAGCAUAGGGAAGAUUUAAACUCCAGAAGGAUGGCUGGAUUCACUGUGGGAUUCAAAAGAAAGACAAAACUUUUCCACAGUACUCACACAUAUAGUUAAUCUCUGCUUAGGUUUUCCUGCCCUUAAAGUUGGAGCGCCAGAACCAAAGUCCUCCCAUUCCAGAAAUUAAGCCCUGCAAGGUUUAAACAUCUACAAACAAAUCCUUAAAUGAGCAAAACACCUUCUCACAGACAAACCUGUCAGUUCUGUACAGGACAGGGUCUGGCCUUAAACAAAACAUUUCUCAGUUCUCUCCUUCACUCUUCCACAAUGCUCCUUCAUCCAGCUACAACUCCAGAUUUAAAGAUUUAUAUUUGUAUUUCUUCCCCAUGUGCACCUAUUUAUAUAAUUUAAAACCUUGCAGGUGUCUUCACUGAGGCUGCCUGACAGUUAAAAGGAAAAAAGAAAAAGUUUCUGUAUUCUUUUAAAAAGCUAUUACUGGAUGGAGGCCCAAAUUUUGUGGGGUUUUUCUGAAAGCAAGUGUCAAAUAAAUCUUUUAAUUCCUUUUCUUCUUACUGCUUUGGAGACAAUUCUAAUUUCUGAACAAUUCUGCAAUGUUUACAUCCCUGCAGUGUCUUCAGUGCUUUUAUAAACAAGGGCAUUGUUUGAGAUUAUUCAUAUGCACUAGAAAAUGACAUUAAUUAAUUCUUUGCUGUGCAAGUUUUAGAAGUAUCAUAGCAAUUUAAACCCUGAUCCUGCAAUAAGGAAAGUCAGUUCUUGGGGAAAUCAGUUUUCCCUCUGUUAUUAAGUUGCCAUCUGCACUAGGCAGGACCUAGUUCUCUGUUUCACUUUUAUUCUUCCACAGCUGAGUCAGACACAAUUCCCUGGAGGAAGCUGAGCAGCUCCUGAGUACCUGAGUCAAGCAUUAAACCAACACUGGAGUCCUCACAAACCCUGCUUACUGUUAAACUCAGCAAGUUUUUAUUGAUGGGUUCGACCAAAACUGCUUAAAACCUGACACUGCCAGGUGCUUGGACACUCAAAUCCUAGCAGGAUUCCCAAAUUUGCUGUUCCUUCACCUGCAGAGCCUCCUCUGGUAGUAGUACUGAAAGGCUACACUGUUAACCCCCAAAUAGCCAGAAAUACAGCUUUCUGGGUGUGGAGGAGGUUGCAUUAGGAAAACAGUGUCACCAGCUGCCACCAAACCCUUGUGAGCUGUGAAGUCAACACGGUUUAUGAAGUUGUAUCUGCCUUUUAGAAUAUUUUUAUCCAACACUGAUAGAUACUGACCUUGUGUACAUGAGCUUCCUUAUCUGUUUUGAAACUAUCAACAGGUCAUAUGGUACUAACCAUCUUAGCAAGCAGAUUUCUCAUCUUACAGAACUAUGGCCUCACUUCUAAGGAAAGGAGAUAUUUUACUAAUCAUAAAGCAACUCAGGCCCUGAAAUCCAGAGUGUGAUACAAAAUAAAUCCUACCAUGAAUGUAAUUCUCAGGUUGCAGUACUGAAAACUUGUUUCUUGUUCUACAGAGCUGCUUAUGAGUACGAUACAAUAUUUGUGUGAGUCUUUCAUAUUGUAAGCAGGGCAAUAAAAAUGUAACUUCAGUGUUGUCCAGCCACAGGUUAGCAGAGGGACUUGGAAAGAGUCUUUAGUCAACAGCGUAUAUCUCUCUGUAACAUCAGAAAUCUGUCUUUAACAGCAUAAUUUUUACAUGCUCCAUCUGAUCAGUUCCCAAAGUUCUGUGGACAGUUUUAGGAGUCAAAAGGCAAAAUUUUACUGAUUUGGAGGAAUAACAUAAAAAGAAGAAGCACAUGCAACCAUUGAUGGUACUGCUGGUGAAGCCUUCACUAAAAAGUCUGCAUUUCCCUACAGCAGUGGCUACAAAACUCUUUGGACUCUUUGGAGGAAGAAUGAGUCCGUAACUUUCACACAGGAGAUACUUCUUGAGCUGGAGUCAGGGCACAGGACUGCCACCCAAGGCUAUCACUGAAAUGGCAGCAGAAUAGAGGCAAAGGAAUGGGAGAUAAGAUGAAGAUGGUCCCCUUUUGAGACAAGCUCAAAGGAACAGAAGGUGAAGACAAAAGAAGAGAGACUUAUAGCAGCAAGAAGAAAGGGAAGAGGCACAUCAGUAAAUCUUGGAUUCUGUGAAUUCUCAUUGUUAACUGGUUUGAACUGCUGUGGAAUAGUAGAAUAUCUCAGGGAUAUUAACUCUGACGUUGCAGGAUAGAAAGUUCUGGUCUUCAUGAAUGGACCCACUAUAAAACAGAGCAGAAGGUUAUCUUAUUUUUGAAACACUCUGGCAUAACAACUUUUACAGCGGUGCCAAAUGCUGGACAACAAUGAGAGUGGCUGAGAAGACAAAUGGAAAGAAGAAAGCAAAGGAGAAGGGUUAACUUUGGCUGCCUCUUUAAGAAACUCUGCCAUUUCCAAGUGACUAUUUUAUAAUUGUCUCUGAGAUAUCAGCAGACACCACGAGUGAUGUAUAUGUAGCAUGUGAGUUGCCUGCUGUAUGUGGAAAACUGCCUAGGGAGGGAUUGGCACAGUGGGAGGGGGAACAUGGCCAGCCUGACUGUAGGCACCAGUGAGGAGUUUAGUCAUCCUGCUGAGUCAACAGGAGACAUGGCACCUCCAAAGGUGCUUUUGCCUACUCGUCAUUCCAUGUUAGACAGCUGAAGUUAUAUGGGAAGAGCCUGUAAUGACAGGCUCACAUGCAAGCUGCUGUUUAUGCAUGGGAUUCAUCUUGCUUGGCUGAUCUGCAUCACCAGCUCCAAACCUCUUCAUCUGGAAUAAAGCUGGUGUCGGACUGGGCAAGGCUUGCUGGGGCUGUUUCUUGGGGCUGUCCUUGCAGCUCUUCUCAAGCAAAUGCAGAAGGUAAGGAAAGGCCAAACAAAGGUCCCAGUAGGAUUCAGGUUCGUUUCAGAGGGGCAGCAGUGUUUGAAUCCUGACAGCUUUACUGAAAGAUAUUUUUUGCUAUCAUUGAGGGUCCCUGCAAGAUGAAGGACCCAGCUGCACAAAUCCCACUGGGAGGAUAGGGCUGCUGACACAAAUGUAAUAUAAUAAAACGCGUUACAGACGUGUACAACUCUUGUCUGAUGAUCUGAGGGACUCCUCUCCCAGUUUGCCCUCAGUACCCCCUGAAGUCAGUGUAACUAUCACCUCCAACAACUCAUGGCAUUGGAUCAUGAUAUUUGUAACAAACUUCUGGUUUAAAGUGCCAGGAUAUAGGAACUAUAUUGUAUGUCUGUUCCACAACAUGCUGAACUCUUGCUUUGUCUGAAUUUUUGCCUUUUUAAAAGUAUUUUUUAAGGUCAUCUUAAUAUCAGAAGAGAAUUUUCAUUUUGUCCAUCUUUCCUCUCUUUAUUGCAGUAUUGGCUGUAAUUAAACUCUAAAUUGCAGGAGCAUCGUUACCUGACAUUUUUCUCUCUUUUCCAAACAAUUCCUGGAACUGAAAGUUAAUAAAAGGAGAUAUACCUUUUCAGUUCUUUGUUCAGCUCCCCUGGCUUGUUUUCAGCAUUUGACAAUGCUUUCCAGGCUCUCAGUUUCACCUCCCUAUUUUCUGGUUCCCUGAGCUUGUGUGGUGCCUUUGAUGCUGCAAAAGGGCAAGAUAAAGCACUGAGGAAAAAAGGUGAAGUACUGUGACAAAAGGACAGGCAUCACCCCAGGGAUUCAUGUACUGAAAGAUCUUUAAAAUUCUUCUCAAAACUGACUAGUUGGGAGUUGACAGUAUCCUUUUAAGGACAGUUUAUGUUCAGAAAUCCCGGUUAGUCUUAUGAGCAAGUUUUGGCUGAGCACAAGUGCUGAUGACUUUUUGAAAUGAAAAACAUUUCU